UACAGAGGGUGCAAGCGUUAAUCGGAAUUACUGGGCGUAAAGCGUGCGUAGUCGGUUAUCUAAGUCGGGUGUGAAAUCCCCGGGCUCAACCUGGGAAUUGCAUUCGAUACUGGAUAGCUAGAGUUCGGCAGAGGGAAGCGGAAUUUCUGGUGUAGCGGUGAAAUGCGUAGAGAUCCGGAGGAACACCAGUGGCGAAGGCGACACGCUGGGCCGUACCUGACACUGAUACGCGACAGCAUGGGGAGCGAACGGG
This 253-nucleotide ribosomal RNA is filed under the name uncultured bacterium. Its description in RNAcentral is "partial 16S ribosomal RNA". It matches the Rfam family "Bacterial small subunit ribosomal RNA", at positions 524 to 776 of the family's 1533-position model. The record is from RNAcentral.